CGGAGAGGGAGCAUGAGAAACGGCUACCACUUCUAAGGAAGGCAGCAGGCGCGCAAAUUACCCAAUCCUGACUCAGGGAGGUAGUGACAAGAAAUAACAAUAAACCGGCUUAUGCCGGUUUAAUUGGAAUGAGUACAAUUUAAACAUCUUAACGAGGAACAAUUGGAGGGCAAGUCUGGUGCCAGCAGCCGCGGUAAUUCCAGCUCCAAUAGCGUAUACUAAAGUUGUUGCAGUUAAAAAGCUCGUAGUUGGAUUUCUGCGGGGACGGAGCGGCCGGACGCAACUUGCGUCUCGAGCUAGCGCUUUCCCCGCAUCCUGCCGCGAACCGUGCUACCAUUAGUUUGGUGGCGCUGGGGAUCGGCUCGAUUACUUUGAGAAAAAUAGAGUGUUCAAAGCAGGCCACACGCCUUGAAUAAGUUAGCAUGGAAUAAUGACUAAGGACUUCGGUUCUAUUUUGUUGGUGUUCGGGACUGAAGUAAUGAUUGAUAGGGACAGUUGGGGCGGUCUGUAUUCCAAAGCGAGAGGUGAAAUUCUUAGACCUUCGGAAGACAAACAGCUGCGAAAGCGUUCCGCAAGGAUGUUCCCUUUGAUCAAGAACGAAAGUUGGGGGAUCGAAGACGAUCAGAUACCGUCGUAGUCUCAACUAUAAACUAUACCAGCUAGGGAUCGGUCAACGUUUAAUUAUUCGACUUGAUCGGCACCUUAUGAGAAAUCAAAGCAUCUGGGUUCCGGGGGGAGUAUGGUCGCAAGGCUGAAACUUAAAGGAAUUGACGGAAGGGCACCACCAGCCGUGGAGCCUGUGGCUUAAUUUGACUCAACACGGGAAAACUUACCAGGUCCGGACAUAGUAAGGAUUGACAGAUUGAUAGCUCUUUCUUGAUUCUGUGGGUGGUGGUGCAUGGCCGUUUUUAGUCGGUGGAUGUGAUCUGUCUGCUUAAUUGCGUUAACGGACGAGACCCCAGCCUGCUAAAUAGCGCGGCCGAGCUUUGCUCGGUGCGAGCUUCUUAGAGGGACCAUGAUGCGCGAUAGCACAAGGAAGUUUGGGGCAACAACAGGUCUGUGAUGCCCUUAGAUGUUCUGGGCCGCACACGGGCUACACUGGCGCCUGCAACGAGCAUAUCAGCUGGCCCGAGAGGGUCUUGGCUAAUCUUUGGAACCGGCGCCGUGCUUGGGAUUGACCAUUGCAAUUGUUGGUCAUGCAACGAGGAAUGCCUUGUAAACGCGAGUCAUCAGCUCGCAUUGAAUACGUCCCUGCCCUUUGUACACACCGCCCGUCGCUCCUACCGAUGAAUGUUCCGAUGAAAUUUUCGGAGAGCACCAGAGAACGGGGCUCUGCCUUGCAGAUCUGGAGGCUCAAAGUCACUUAAAUCUGAACAUUUCGAGGAAGGAGAAGUCGUAACAAGGUAACC
Molecule: ribosomal RNA, 1409 nt
Filed under: uncultured Rhizaria
Lineage: Eukaryota
Description: SSU rRNA
Rfam family: Eukaryotic small subunit ribosomal RNA
Source: RNAcentral